CUGGUUCUCACGUUGCGAGUUGAGACAAGAGGUACCCCGAGUGAAAGACUCGUGGUUGUGUACGAGAUUGCAAGUGUAUGAUCAAGAGUUUAACCGAGUUCCCACGGGUAUGACAAGUUUGCCGUUUACUUGUCAUUUCUGCGAUGUUCCAAGUUCGUCUCCCGAGUUACUCUUGAGCCAAUCCUGAUUGAAGGUUUGUUUUAAUAAGCAACAGUGUUAUGUUUUAAUAAGCAACAGUGUUAAAGAAGACCUCUCCAUCCUGUGGCUUUGUUUUAAAGAUAAAUUCAGAGCGGCCGCAUCUAUUGAUGUGACCUACAAAGGGAAAAUGCGCACCAUCCAAUGCCAGAGCAGUUAUACUUAUGAUUUGUUUGAAACACACAGCUGAACGCAAGAUCAACAACAGGAAGAACCCUCGCCCCCCAUCCUCCCCAAACCUCUCCAUACCACCGUUAUUGAAAGUUUACUUCCAGCAGUGAGCAGAAGAUGGAAGGUUCUCAUGGCAGCCAAUGUCCUCAAAGAUCCACAUCGCCCUGGUCACACUCAUUUCACUCCUACCAUCGGGGAGAAGGUAUAUCUGAAAACUGUGACCACCAGGUUCAAGAAUAGCUUCUUCCCAACAACUAUCAGGCUCUUGAACACCGUCCAACGCUAAUCUCAAUCAUGAACUUCUAUACAGUGCAUUCAGAAAGUAUUCAGACCCCUUCAUUUUUCUUUCCACAUUUUGUUACGUUACAGCUUAUUUUAAAAUAGGUUAAAUGCAUUUAUUGUUAUCAUCAAUCUACACACAAAACCCCAGAAUGAAGAAGCGAAACAGGUGUUUAGAAAUGUUUGCAAAGUAAUUAAAAAUAAAUAACUGAAAUAUCACAUUUACAUAAGUAUUUAGACCCUUUGCAAUGACACUCAAAAUUGAGCUUCGGUUCAUCCUGUUUCCAUUGAUUAUCCUUGAGAUGCUUCUACAACUUGAUUGGAGUCCACCAGUGGCAAAUUAAAUUAAUUUAACAUGAUUUGGAAAGGCACACACCUGUCUAUAUAAGGUCCUACAGUUGGCAGUGCAUGUCAGAGCAAAAACCAAGCCAUGAAGAUGAAGGAAUUGUCCGUAGACCUCCGAGACAGGAUUGUAUCAAGACGCAGAUCUGGGGAAGGGUAUAAAACAAUUUCUGCAGCAUUGUAGGUCCUGAAGAGCACAGUGGCCUCGGUCAUUCAUAAAUGGAAGGACUUUGGAACCACCAGGAAGUUGCAUCAGGACCAGAGGUUUGUUUGCUAAAUAUUGCCAAAUCUCAUCACCAUAAGGGCAUGUCCUCUGUUUAGUUUGGAGAUGCAGCAUGGAAACAGGCCAUUCGGCCCACCGUGUGUACACUGACCAGCGAUCCCCGCACACUAACACUAUCCUGAACACACCAGGGACAAUUUUACAUUAAUACAAAGCUUUGGAGUGUGGGACGAAACCGAAGAUCUCGGAGAAAACAUACACAGAUCAUGGGGAGAACGUAUAACCUCCGUACAGACAAGCACCCGUGGUCAGGAUUGAACUUUGGCGCUGUAAGGCAGCAACUCUACCGCUAUGCCACCAUGCCGCCCCGCUGCUGACAAGGAACAGUACGAGUGGUGAUGUGGAAGAGGAGAAGGAAGAGGAUUAGGAUAGUUCAAGGCAAGUUAGCUAACCCCUUUCUCCAGACCAUCUGUGAACCAUUUAUUCCCCUUCCGCAAUAGUCUCACAUCCUCCCUCCACCUUUCCCUGAUCAUCACACCAUCUGCUCUGUCAAAAGCAAAAGCGGCCAAAAUAUUCACUUUGCAAAGUGAGUUUGUAUGUCAGGGCACUGCAUAUUGUAUAGAAACUUUAACUGUUCACCCUUGUGCAUUUUCUUAGCACCUACUUGCUUUAGCUAUUCUGGAGCCUAAACACUACCCAUGCCCCAUAUCAAGCUGAGCUUGCAUGACAGAAGCCUGAACUUCUGCUGCAUUCACAUGUUGAGUGACCCCUGUCGUGGAAGCAGAGUGCGGCUAUCUGAGUUUGCACUGAGUUCAUGGCAGUAACUAGUUUCCCAUGCUGGAAAGUAUGGGCUUCAAGCUCUCCACAGACUCUGGCAUAAGGUUGGUCAUAAGAUCAUAAGAUCAUAGGAUCGUGUGAUAGUAGCAGAAUUAGGCCAUUCGGCCCAUCAGCUCUACUCCGCCAUUCAAUCAUGGCUGAUCUAUCUCUCCCUCCUAACCCCAUUCUCCUGCCUUCUCCCCAUAACCUCUGACACUCUUACUAAUCAAGAAUCUAUCUAACUCUGCCUUAAAAAUAUCCACUGACUUUGCAUCCACAGCCUUCUGUGGCACAGAAUUCCACAGAUUCACCACCCUCUGAUUAAAGACUGGUACCAUAUUCUACCUGAUACUGGAAGCAGGCUUUACGACAGUCUUGCCAUGCCCAUUCACCCAGAGCUUCUAGUGGAGGGCCCCACUGAAGUUCUCAUCUGUGGCUGACAUCUGCUAUACCCAUGCCAUCUGCCCUGCAGCAGGCCAGCUACACAAUGGCUCACUAUUGGAAUACUCCAUCUCUCGGCUAACCCCCAAGUCUGGGAGAUGACAAUAUGGAGCUGCUAUCCAUCAGUUCCAGCUUCACUAUAGUGUCACAGAGUUGUACAACACGGAAACAGACCCUUCAGCCCAACUUGUUCAUACUGACCAAGUUGCCCCAUCUACACUUGUCCCACCUGCCCGUGUUUGGCCCACAUCCCUCUAAACCUUUCCUAUCCCUGCACCUGUCCAAAUGUCAUAAUUGUCAGGUCAUUUAAUUGCUUCUGGAACUAGGGCACAAGGUUAAGGCUACAAUGAUGGCUGGUGGUGGGUGGUGAGUUGAUGGUUGUUAUGAAUGUAAGCAGUGCAUGCUUACAUCCACAGCAGAAAGGAUUGAGGGAUCUGAAAGAAAUAGGAUGGGGAGGUUGGGAUGGAGAUUAGGAAACUGUCAGUAGCACAUAAUUCACUGGAUUUUGAUAGUCAAUUGUUAGUUGUAACAAGUACUUCUUCCACCUCUGACCACAGUAAAAUACUCCGCUCUCCAUUUCACCAAUAUGUAUUGCGAGCUAAGUUAUUUUCCUUUCUAUCAUAUAUUGUUCACGUGGACCAUUCAAUUGGCUCCAAUUUAGCCCAGACCAUCACACAAAUCUGCGGCCCUUCCAUCGACUCCAUCCUAGUUUAUUUUAGUUUAAAGAUACAGAGCAUAAACAGUCUCUUUUAGCCCACCGGGUCCGCGCCGACCAGCGAUCCCCAAAUAUUAAACCUAUUCUAUGCACACUGGGUACAGUUUGUACAUUUACCAAGCCAAUUUACCUCCAA
Molecule: long non-coding RNA, 3318 nt
Organism: Leucoraja erinaceus (little skate)
Lineage: Eukaryota; Metazoa; Chordata; Chondrichthyes; Rajiformes; Rajidae
Exons: 3
Source: RefSeq, a predicted model, not a curated record